AUUGAACGCUGGCGGCAUGCCUUACACAUGCCAGUCGAACGGUAACGGGCCUUCGGGUGCCGACGAGUGGCGAACGGGUGAGUAAUACAUCGGAACGUGCCCGAUCGUGGGGGAUAACGAGGCGAAAGCUUUGCUAAUACCGCAUACGAUCUACGGAUGAAAGCCGGGGACCGCAAGGCCUUGCGCGGACGGAGCGGCCGAUGGCAGAUUAGGUAGUUGGUGGGAUAAAAGCUUACCAAGCCGACGAUCUGUAGCUGGUCUGAGAGGAUGAUCAGCCACACUGGGACUGAGACACGGACCAGACUCCUACGGGAGGCAGCAGUGGGGAAUGUUGGACAAUGGGCGCAAGCCUGGUCCAGCCAUGCCGCGUGCAGGAUGAAGGCCUUCGGGUUGUAAACUGCUUUUGUACGGAACGAAAAGCCUUCUUUUAAUACAGGAGGGUCAUGACGGUACCGUAAGAAUAAGCACCGGCUAACUACGUG
RNAcentral lists this ribosomal RNA (482 nucleotides) under uncultured bacterium. RNAcentral describes it as "partial 16S ribosomal RNA". It matches the Rfam family "Bacterial small subunit ribosomal RNA", at positions 30 to 507 of the family's 1533-position model. The record is from RNAcentral.